AUCGAACCCGGAGAUAGCUGGUUCUCCUCGAAAUAGCUUUAGGGCUAGCCUCGAUUUAGUCUUAUGGAGGUAGAGCACUGAAUUUCCGCGGGGGCGUCAAAGCUUACCAAAGAAUAUCAAACUCCGAAUGCCAUGUAGAUGAUGAUCGGGAGUCAGACUGCACGAGAUAAGUUGGGCAGUCAAAAGGGAAAGAGCCCAGACCACCGGCUAAGGUCCCAAAGUGCGUGUUAAGUGGAAAAGGAUGUGGGAAUUCGAAGACAACUAGGAUGUUGGCUCAGAAGCAGCCAUACAUUCAAAGAGUGCGUAACAGCUCACUAGUCGAGAGUUCCUGCGCCGAAAAUGUCCGGGGCUGAAACACGACACCGAAGCCGUGGACUCGCAAUGCGAGUGGUAGAGGAGCAUUCUUAAAACCGACGAAGCUGUACCGGAAGGAGCAGUGGAGGGAUAAGAAGAGAGAAUGCCGGAAUGAGUAGCGAGAGAAAGGUGGGAAUCCUUUCGGCCGAAUAUCUAAGGUUUCCAGAGUAAAGCUGAUCUGCUCUGGGUAAGUCGGGGCCUAAGCACAGGUCGCAAGACGUAAGCGAUGGAUAACAGGUUUAGAUUCCUGUACCACGCAUUAUCAGAACUGUAGGGACGCAUGUGGAAAGCACGAGCCGGGAAUGGAAAGACCGGUACAAGCGGGGUAGGUGUACAAUAGGCAAAUCCGUUGUAUAAUCCGAAGACGUGAUGUGGAGCGAAAUAAAGUAGUGAAGCGUGUGAGCCAUGUGCCGAGAAAAGCUGCUAUUGUGUAAUGCGUGCCCGUACCGUAAACCGACACAGGUGGAUGAGGAGAGAAUCCUAAGGCCGACGGAAGAAGCAUUGUUAAGGAAUUCGGCAAAAUGACCCCGUAACUUCGGGAGAAGGGGUGCCUGCGAGAGCAGGCCGCAGAGAAUAGGCUCAAGCAACUGUUUAGCAAAAACACAGGUCUAUGCGAAACCGAAAGGUGAGGUAUAUGGGCUGACGCCUGCCCGGUGCUGGAAGGUUAAGAGGAGAGGUUAGCGGUAACGCGAAGCUUUGAAUUUAAGCCCCAGUAAACGGCGGCCGUAACUAUAACGGUCCUAAGGUAGCGAAAUUCCUUGUCGGGUAAGUUCCGACCCGCACGAAAGGCGUAAUGAUUUGAGCGCUGUCUCGACAAUGCAUCCGGUGAAAUUGAAGUACCAGUGAAGAUGCUGGUUACCCGCGCCAGGACGGAAAGACCCCAUGGAGCUUUACUCCAGUUUGAUACUGGGAUUCGGUACUGCAUGUACAGGAUAGGUGGGAGACGAAGAAGGAUGGACGCCAGUCUGUCCGGAGUCGCUGUUGGGAUACCACCCCUGUAGUACUGGGUUUCUAACCAGUUGCCAUGAACUGGCAAUGGGACAAUGUCAGGCGGGGAGUUUGACUGGGGCGGUCGCCUCCGAAAGGGUAUCGGAGGCGCUCAAAGGUUCCCUCAGAAUGGUUGGAAACCAUUCGAAGAGUGCAAAGGCAGAAGGGAGCUUGACUGCGACACCGACGGGUGGAGCAGGUACGAAAGUAGGACUUAGUGAUCCGGUGGUAUAAAGUGGGAUUGCCAUCGCUCAACGGAUAAAAGCUACCCUGGGGAUAACAGGCUUAUCACUCCCAAGAGUUCACAUCGACGGAGUGGUUUGGCACCUCGAUGUCGGCUCAUCGCAUCCUGGGGCUGUAGUAGGUCCCAAGGGUUGGGCUGUUCGCCCAUUAAAGCGGUACGCGAGCUGGGUUCAGAACGUCGUGAGACAGUUCGGUCCCUAUCCGGCGUGGGCGUAGGAUAUCUGAGAGGAGCUGUCCUUAGUACGAGAGGACCGGGAUGGACGGGCCGCUGGUGCAUCGGUUAGACUGCCAAGUCUACGGCCGAGUAGCCAAGCCCGGAAGGGAUAAACGCUGAAGGCAUCUAAGCGUGAAGCCCCCCUUAAGAUGAGAUAUCCCAUUCGUAAAGAAGUAAACCCCCUUGAAGACGACGAGGUAGAUAGGGCAGAGGUGGAAGUGUGGCAACACAUGGAGCUGACUGUUACUAAUCGGGUGAGGGCUUGACCAA
This 2068-nucleotide ribosomal RNA is filed under the name human gut metagenome. RNAcentral's name for it is "bacterial LSU rRNA". It matches the Rfam family "Bacterial large subunit ribosomal RNA", at positions 832 to 2925 of the family's 2925-position model. The record is from RNAcentral.